This 425-nucleotide ribosomal RNA is filed under the name uncultured bacterium. RNAcentral's name for it is "partial 16S ribosomal RNA". It matches the Rfam family "Bacterial small subunit ribosomal RNA", at positions 354 to 796 of the family's 1533-position model. The record is from RNAcentral.
GUGGGGAAUCUUAGACAAUGGGGGAAACCCUGAUCUAGCCAUGCCGCGUGAGCGAUGAAGGCCUUGGGGUUGUAAAGCUCUUUCAGCUGGGAAGAUAAUGACGGUACCAGCAGAAGAAGCCCCGGCUAACUCCGUGCCAGCAGCCGCGGUAAUACGGAGGGGGCUAGCGUUGUUCGGAAUUACUGGGCGUAAAGCGCGCGUAGGCGGACCAGAAAGUUGGAGGUGAAAUCCCAGGGCUCAACCUUGGAACUGCCUUCAAAACUCCUGGUCUGGAGUUCGAGAGAGGUGAGUGGAACUCCGAGUGUAGAGGUGAAAUUCGUAGAUAUUCGGAGGAACACCAGUGGCGAAGGCGGCUCACUGGCUCGAUACUGACGCUGAGGUGCGAAAGCGUGGGGAGCAAACAGGAUUAGAUACCCGAGUAGUCC